This is a long non-coding RNA of Rhododendron vialii, 729 nucleotides long. RefSeq lists it as uncharacterized. The transcript has 2 exons. The record is from RefSeq and is a predicted model, not a curated record. NCBI's taxonomy places the organism in Eukaryota, Viridiplantae, Streptophyta, Magnoliopsida, Ericales, Ericaceae.
GGGGAACGCAUCAACGCAUGGUCCUCCCAUCUCAGGUUCUCUCUCUCUCUCUCUCUCUCUCUCUCUCUCUCUGUUUUUGGCUCUCAUCAGUGGUAGAAGCUCAUCACGUAAAAAACCGUUCGCUGGUGACUUUCACCGUAUCGAUUCAAGACUUCGAAAUAUCCAGCAGCUGCAUUACUCCGUCUUACGUUAAAACCUUCUGCCUCUCAAAGGCCAGAUUUUCCCCCCUCCGGCAGAAACUAUACGACGCUCGGAUGCUUUUCCACCAAGAUUCAUCACAAUCACAAACACAGCAACAUCAUGAGAACCGAAUACCAGGAUGGAUCCCACACUUUCGUUCUCGGAGACUUUACUACUAGGAUGGAUGCGGCACCAGCAGUUUGGUUCCUGGCGGCUAGGUUUAGUUUCUCGCUCGUUUUGUAACUUUUGUUGGCUUUGCAUUCUGUGGAACUCUCGCGCUAUAAACAGCACCGUCGUGCUCCUUCUGUCAUCAUCGGUCAUCUGAGGAAGUAAAAUCUCCUCUCAGAAUUGCUUCCUUCACCUUGGUGCUCAUUUUGGUUGGUAGAAUUUUGUGAAAAUCUUCCAACUUUUAGAGAAGAAGGGGUUAAUGUGACUGGUAGUUGGGCCAAAUGUUUGUUGAAAAGAGAAAAUAGUAACCAAAGAAUGGCGGUUAGGAGGGUCUAGUAGUUGAAGAAUGGUACCAGCUAUGAAUGGUGAUUUUAGAAAUCA